Long non-coding RNA from Vespa velutina, 1370 nucleotides. RefSeq lists it as uncharacterized. NCBI's taxonomy places the organism in Eukaryota, Metazoa, Arthropoda, Insecta, Hymenoptera, Vespidae. The record is from RefSeq and is a predicted model, not a curated record. The transcript is spliced from 3 exons.
UUGCAGGAGAAACACGAGAACGAGAGAAGAGGAUAAUACAGAGGCGUCCGUUACCGUUAGAAGGUUGGCGAUCUAAGGGCACCCUCGCACGACUUCUCGAAGGAGUUCGCGAAAGACCUGUCGAGAUCAAUUUAGGACGAUCGCCACUGUACUACGGAAAUCGAUACCCUGUUAGCGCGUUGUUUUAAUACUAGAGGUCGGUAGAUUCGUUUUGUAACUGUGGGAAAAGUUGAAUCGAUCGAGGACGAAGCUGUGGCCCCGUUACACCAUCGUUUUUUGCUCUCAUUGAUGGAACUUAUCGAUCUUAAAGAUCGUCUUCUCUAAUUCUCUCUUUUUCUCUCUCUUUCUCUCUUUCUUUUACUCUUUCACACGACAGAUUUAUUUCUCGUGGUAAGGAAGGUACGAUGUUUGCAAAGAGAUAAAUUCGGAGUCAUUCCGAAAAUAGAAAGAUCCACGAUAUCGGUAGAAUAAAAUGGUGCCUACCUCUCGGACUAUGGAUCGACGUUAGGAUGUUGAGAUGGUGGUGAAAGGAAAUAAAAGAAUGUAGUAUGUGCUUCGACGAAGGCGCGAAACGGACGAUUUAAAAGCGAGCGGCCGAUCUAUCGCGUCCACGCGGCGCCAUUGAUCCGCCUUUCAAGAUUUCCAACCGCUUAAGUGCCGUCGAUCGUGAAUCUCCCAGCCUUCGGAGGACAGCGAACGAGCUCUCCUCUUAUCACCGGUUUCGCCUAUGAUAGCCGCCGCGCGCACGAGCGAGUACGAACGAGUAAAAAAGAAGAGAAAAAAGAUACAGAUAGAACGAGAGAGAGACAGAAAGAGAGAGAGAGAGAGAGAGAGAGAGAGAGAGAGAACACUUUGCUACUGGCGGCACAUCGGCAGCACACGGCUUAAGGACAGAUCGAGCCGUGGAAUCUGGCAGAGACGCAUUGCUCGUCCCUUUUCGCGCCUAUCUAUCUACUCGAAGAGAGAACGACGACGACGACGACAACGACGAAGAGGAGAUCCUUUCCCGAACGCAUUGGGAUCGUGCGAAAUUUCACGCUCAAAGCUAUUAUUUGUAAUCUCUUACAACUGGAUAUCUUUCAUUGCCGUAUAAUGCAACGACAAUUCAUAUGGAAAAAGCUCGGCAAGAAUUCCAUUUAGGCGAGUGUCGAUCCGAAGCAACUCGAUCCGAUGUAAGACGACGCCAAAACGUGCUUAGACUUUACCCACAAUUUUCUUUUCCCCGAGAGGCAAAAGUUGUGAUUCCGGCGAAUAAACCAGUCAGCGUCUUGGCAGCAGCAUAACGGCGCAUACCACCGGCUGGCCAGCUUCUAACGAGUACAAGACAUCGGGCUCGAGGUAACACGAGAGGGCCACCAGCAUCGCGAGAG